GACGAACGCUGGCGGCAUGCUUAACACAUGCAAGUCGAACGGAAAGGCCCUGCUUUUGUGGGGUGAUCGAGUGGCGAACGGGUAAGUAACAAGUGAGCAACCUGCCCUUGUCUUUGGGAUGACUUAAGGAAACUGGGGUUACUACCAUAUCGGAGCCCCUCCUGCAUGGUGGGGGUUGGAAAGUUUCGGCGGUGUGGGAUGGACUCGCGGCUUAUGAGCUUGUUGGUGGGGUAGUGGCUUACCAAGGCUUUGACGGGUAGCCGGCCUGAGAGGGUGACCGGCCACAUUGGGACUGAGAUACGGCCCAGACUCCUACGGGAGGCAGCAGUGGGGAAUAUUGCACAAUGGGCGGAAGCCUGAUGCAGCAACGCCGCGUGCGGGAUGACGGCCUUCGGGUUGUAAACCGCUUUCGCCUGUGACGAAGCGUGAGUGACGGUAAUGGGUAAAGAAGCACCGGCUAACUACGUG
Molecule: ribosomal RNA, 468 nt
Filed under: uncultured bacterium
Lineage: Bacteria
Description: partial 16S ribosomal RNA
Rfam family: Bacterial small subunit ribosomal RNA
Source: RNAcentral